Molecule: ribosomal RNA, 5457 nt
Filed under: Triticum aestivum (bread wheat)
Lineage: Eukaryota; Viridiplantae; Streptophyta; Magnoliopsida; Poales; Poaceae
Description: partial small subunit ribosomal RNA
Source: RNAcentral
CUCGUCCCGCCAUUAUCUUCCCUCCUCGGCACAAUCGAAGAAGGCAUGUUUCGUCCAUCGAUCCGGACUUUUGGAUGAACAGGCCGAGGAAUUCAUCCGAAUUCGAAAUGCGGAAACCAGGAUCGGGAAACACAAGAUCCGAACCCACCCCACCCACAGCGUGUAGCCCGUGGCGUGCGUGCGUUACCCACACCAAGGGCAACGAAGGAGAGCCGAUCCCUGUGAGGGUGCGGUCAGGUCACCGUCCCCUGGGCCGAUCGGGGCCGUCCACGCGGGCCUUAUCCCCGAUCCGACGGCCGCCGGCCACGCCCGGUAGGUUUACGCCGUUCUUAAGGCGUCCAUCGCCCUCGUCUCGCUUGGCUUCGCUCCUCUUCCAUCGUCUCACACCGCUGCCUCGCCUCUCGCGUUCCCCCACCCUCCAAGCGAUUGCCUUUGCGCUCGCGCUCGCGCUCUUCGCAGUCUCUCCUGCCGCGUGCCCCUCUUCCAUCCCCGUGGAGUGCGCGUGCUCGCGUGGGCGGGCAGAUCCGGCGUUCAAGGCGGCCCGGGGGCAGGAUCGGCGUCUUCCGGCGGCGUCCGGCGUGCGGGAGGUUUGACGAGGCAGGAACCGGUGGUGGUGGUGGUGGUGGUGGUGAAGGAGAAGACGCUCGGUGCAUGGUGGCCUGAUGAAGCGCUCCAGGGAGGACGCGCUCGCCGCCGCCGGGUCGCAGCCCAGCAAGCGCAUCAGCACCAGCAGCGCCGCCGCCGCCGUCGCUCGAUCCGAUCCGUCGCCGCCGCAGCCCAUGCCUCCGGCGGGGUCGGGGUCGGCGCUGGUGCCGGCGCCGCCGCCCCAGGCCGUGGCCGCCCUGCCGGCGCAGCCGUCCGGCGGGUCUGGGGCCGCCACUGCUGCUGCCGCCGCCGCCGCCGGCCAGAAGCUGACGACCAACGACGCCCUCGUCUACCUCAAGGCCGUCAAGGACAAGUUCCAGGACAACCGCGCCAAGUACGAGGAGUUCCUCGAGGUCAUGCGCGACUUCAAGAGCGAGAGGAUCGAUACCAACGGGGUGAUUAUCCGCGUGAAGACCCUCUUCAACGGGUACCCCGAGCUGAUCCUCGGGUUCAACACCUUCUUGCCCAAGGGCUUCGCAAUCAGGCUGCAGCAGGAUGAGAAGAAGCCUGUGGAUUUCGCGGAGGCCAUCAACUUCGUGAACAAGAUAAAGAGUCGGUUCCAGCGUGACGAGCAUGUGUACAAGUCCUUCCUGGACAUUCUCAACAUGUACCGCAAGGAUAACAAGUCCAUCCAAGAUGUUUACCAUGAGGUUGCUGUGCUGUUCAGCGACCACAAAGACUUGCUCGAAGAAUUCCAGCACUUCUUGCCUGACACCUCAGCGUCUCCGCAAGCAGGGACCGCUCCAAGAGGCGGCUUAGUUAAGCGGGAAGCUCUAAUGCCCCCUGCUAGUAGGGGUCACAUUGAAAAGCCUAGGGCUUUUCCAUCUCAUACCGACCGUGACGCCAGUGUCGAUCGUCCUGAUGUGGACCAUGAUCGCCAAAGACAACGGGAGAAGAACAAGGAACGCAAGGCAGAAAGAGAGAGAAGGGAUUAUGAUAGAGAUGAUAAGGAUGGUGAACAAGACAGCAAAGAGCUGGAUGUUGGCCAGCGUAAGCGCAAACCUUUUCCAAGCGCAAACCUUGUAGGUGCUGAGGCACACCAAGGAGGCCACCCUGAGAUUCAUGGAAUUAAUAGUGCCUCUGCCUCAUCGUAUGAUAAUAAGGAUGCGUUAAAGAGUGGAUACACACAGGAGUUCCAUUUCUGCGAAAAAGUCAAGGAUAAGCUGGAAUAUGAUGCUUACCAGGAGUUCUUGAAAUGUCUUCACAUAUACAGCCAGGAAAUUAUUACGAGGAGUGAACUGAAGAACUUGGUGAGCGAUAUACUACAACACUACCCCGAUCUUAUGGAUGGAUUUAAUGAAUUCUUGGAACAUUGUGAAAAUAUAGAUGGAUUUCUGGCUGGAGUCUUCAGUAAAAAGCAACCUGGAAGGCUAAUCAAGACAGAGGAUAAAGAAAGAGAUAAGGAGCAUGAGAGGGAGGAUAGGAACAGAGAUCGGGACAAGGAAAGAGAAAAGGAACGGGAAAGACUACAUCCAAAGGAAGGUUCUAGCCAGAAACCCUCGGUUGUCAAAGAGAAGUAUCUAUGCAAACCAAUAUCAGAGCUUGAUCUCUCAAAUUGUCAGCGAUGCACUCCAAGUUACCGGCUUCUACCUAAAAAUUACCCAAUGCCUCCGGCAGGCAACAAGACUGAUCUUGGUGCCUCGGUUCUUAAUGAUCACUGGGUGUCAGUGACAUCAGGGAGUGAAGACUAUUCCUUUAAGCACAUGCGCAAGAAUCAGUAUGAAGAAAGUUUAUUUAGAUGCGAAGAUGACAGGUUCGAAUUGGAUAUGCUGUUGGAAUCAGUUAAUGCAGCAACUAAGCGUGUCGAGGAGUUGAUAGAAAAAAUGCAAGAUAACUCAGUAAAACCAGAAAGCCCAAUACGCAUCGAUGAGCACUUGACUCCUUUGAAUCUAAGGUGCAUUGAACGGUUAUAUGGUGACCAUGGUCUGGAUGUGAUGGACGUUCUUCGAAGAAAUGCUAGUGUUGCACUGCCUGUUAUCUUAUCCAGGCUAAAACAAAAGCAGGAGGAAUGGUCAAGGUGUCGAUCAGAUUUCAACAAGGUUUGGGCUGAUAUUUACGCCAAGAAUUAUCACAAGUCACUUGAUCAUCGCAGUUUCUAUUUCAAGCAGCAAGACUCGAAGAAUCUCAGCACAAAAUCUCUACUGACUGAGAUUAAAGAAAUUAAUGAGAAGAAAAGAAAGGAAGACGAUGUUCUCAUUGCUAUCGCUGCUGGAAAUAGGCGGCCUAUAGUUCCCAAUAUGUCAUUUGAGUAUGUAGAUGCAAAUAUCCAUGAUGAUCUUUAUAAGAUCGUGAAGUACUCGUGUGGAGAAGUCUGUGGCUCAGACCAACUGGACAAAGUGAUGAAGAUUUGGACAACUUUUCUGGAGCCUAUUUUGGGCAUUCCGCCUCGAUCCCACGGUACUGUGGAUGCAGAUCUAACUAAACCCAAGAAUGGGAUCACAAAAUCUGGUACUGCAAUUAUGGGGGAAAGCAAUACUUCUCCUGAUGGAGUUGCUGCCCAGCAAGGCCAUGGUGAUGAAAGCAUGCAACAGGAACAAGCACCAUCAGCUGUGGCUAGAUUGUCUAGGUUAGCGAAAGGAGUUGCAGCAGACUCCCAAAAUGGUUCGCAUGAUGCAGAUCGAACUGCUCGUAGAGAUGAGGAAGCAUCAAAUGCUGCACUAAAUGAAGUAUCUGCAGUAAGCACCCAGAACAUGCCUACUGGAAGACCAGCAGGACAACAUAGCCAUAUGAAGGGAAACUCUGAAACUACGCCAGGAGUGAAUGCAUCUAAAAGUUCACAUGCUGGAGUUAGUAUGGCUGCCGGUGCCAGGGCUGGCCAUGAAGUAUUACCAUCUACUGAGGGUGGAGAGACUGGCAAGUCAGGAUCAUCUUUAAAUUGUGGGGCUACCAGCGAGGGUAACAAGGGGCGCCUAUUUAAUGAAGCUGCUGCGCCCCACAAUACUUCGAAAGUUGAAAGAGAGGAAGGUGAAUUAUCGCCUAAUGGAGAUUUUGAAGAGGACAAUUUUGUGCCUUUCGAAGAUGGUGCAUCUAAAACAAAGGAAGGCUCUACAAGCAGAACGUUCAAGGUUAGACCUGGUCAGGUGGAACCUCAUGCUGAGGCAGCCGGCGAGAAUGAUGCUGAUGAUGAGGAAAGCACUCAAAGGUCUACCGAGGACAGUGAAAAUGCUUCUGAGGCUGGUGAAGAUGCAUCAGGAAGUGAAUCUGGUGACGGUGAGCACGGUUCUCCUGAAGAUCAUGACGAGGAAGAAGAUAUGGAUCAUGAUCAGGAUCCGAAGGCAGAAAGUGAGGGUGAGGCAGAGGGGACAACUGAGACCCACGACGUUGAAGGGGGAAUGUCAUUACUUGGAAUAUCAUUACCUUCAUCAGAACGCUUUCUGUACUCGGCUAAACCACUGGCCAAGCAUGUACCCACAUCUUUACAUGGCCGGGAAGAUAGAUCGUCGCAUAUAUUUUAUGGGAAUGAUUCGUUUUACAUCUUGUUCAGGCUGCACCAGAUGCUGUAUGAAAGACUGCUUUCAGCAAAGACAAACUCUUCAAGUGCUGAAAAGAAAUGGAGAACCUCCAAGGAUACAAACCCCCCUGACCUAUAUGCAAGGUUCAUAAAGGCACUCUACAACUUGCUUGAUGGUACUUCUGAUAAUACCAAGUUUGAGGAUGACUGCCGUGCUAUUAUCGGGACCCAGUCAUACGUUCUCUUUACUUUGGAUAAACUGAUAUACAAAGUUGUGAAGCAGCUUCAAGCUAUAGCGACGGAUGAAAUGGACAGCAAGCUUCUCCAGCUUUAUAUGUAUGAGAAGUCAAGAUCCCCUGGGAGGUUCUUUGAUCUCGUCUAUCAUGAAAACGCCCGUGUCCUACUCCAUGAUGAGAGCAUGUAUCGAUUCGAAUGUCGCUCAAGUCCAAUGAGGUUGUCUAUUCAGCUGAUGGAGUAUGGUCAUGAAAAGCCUGAGGUGACUGCGGUAUCCAUUGAGCCAAAUUUUGCCUCGUAUCUUUUCAGCGAGUAUCUGUCAAAUUCGUCAGGCACGAUGUUGCCUGAAGGUGUCUUCCUUGGAAGGCCAUGGAUGGUAUCAAAGUUGCUAAUGGUCUUGAAUGCAAGAUAUCCUGCAAGACCUCUAAGGUCUCCUAUGUCCUUGACACCGAAGAUUUCUUGUUUCGGUUGAGAAAGAGGAGGAGGCUUUCACCUGGUGGAAAUGUGGCCGACAAGUCGCCGACCUCCAAAAAAUAUGAUGCAAAAGUGCAGCGCUUUCAUUUAUUUCUAUCCAAGCCUUAAGAGGGCCGUAGGCAAAAAACAUUGACAUUGUAUCCAAAUCAGGAGAUGCUGCUGGGGUCGUGACCGCCUUGCUCUUUGCUUCGACAGUGACAAGAAGAAUAACAAUAAUCAGCUGGGCGCUGGAUAGAUGAUAUACCCGGUAAAUACAGCAAAGCAAAGCAUGUUAGGGCCACCUCGGUCAGCCUUAGGCCGCGCCGAAAAAGAUGUGUGUGUGUUUGUAAAUAUGUACUGGCAGAAGAAGGAUGUUGUUUGUUCUGUUAACCUGUUAUUACCUGUAGUGUCUUUUUUGGUCGUCGUAGAAGGAGGAGAAGGAUUCUGUUGAAGUGAUGAUGAUCACCAUUUGUUGAUGCUGGUAUAGGUCUCUUUGUUAUGUCGGGUUGACCGUCGGUUUUUCGGUUCAAGAUAUGUAGCCUUGGUCAGUUAAAUGCAACAAUUGCAACAGUCAUUGUUUUUAAUGCGUCGUUUGUGACAUGAUUAUGUUUGGUGUGCUCUAGUUGUUUUUGAAAUAAUCAUGAUUGUAGUUUAAGGGAAACUAAGAUCCAGCC